RNAcentral lists this unclassified non-coding RNA (18 nucleotides) under Mus musculus (house mouse). RNAcentral's name for it is "oocyte_clustered_small_RNA14136". The record is from RNAcentral. Lineage: Eukaryota; Metazoa; Chordata; Mammalia; Rodentia; Muridae.
GCAAAGCCUCUCCAUGGC